GACGAACGCUGGCGGCGUGCUUAACACAUGCAAGUCGAACGGUAAGGCCCUUCGGGGUACACGAGUGGCGAACGGGUGAGUAACACGUGGGUGAUCUGCCCUGCACUUCGGGAUAAGCCUGGGAAACUGGGUCUAAUACCGGAUAGGACCACUGCCUGCAUGGGUGGUGGUGGAAAGCUUUUGCGGUGUGGGAUGGGCCCGCGGCCUAUCAGCUUGUUGGUGGGGGGAUGGCCUACCAAGGCGACGACGGGUAGGCGGCCUGAGCGGGUGACCGGCCACACUGGGACUGAGAUACGGCCCAGACUCCUACAGGAGGCAGCAGUGGGGAAUAUUGCACAAUGGGCGCAAGCCUGAUGCAGCGACGCCGCGUGAGGGAUGACGGCCUUCGGGUUGUAAACCUCUUUCAGCACCGACGAAGCGCAAGUGACGGUAGGUGCAGAAGAAGGACCGGCCAACUACGUGCCAGCCGCCGCGGUAA
RNAcentral lists this ribosomal RNA (478 nucleotides) under uncultured bacterium. RNAcentral's name for it is "partial 16S ribosomal RNA". It matches the Rfam family "Bacterial small subunit ribosomal RNA", at positions 28 to 523 of the family's 1533-position model. The record is from RNAcentral.